Molecule: long non-coding RNA, 3354 nt
Filed under: Megachile rotundata (alfalfa leafcutting bee)
Lineage: Eukaryota; Metazoa; Arthropoda; Insecta; Hymenoptera; Megachilidae
Description: uncharacterized LOC105662643, transcript variant X1
Source: RNAcentral
AUGAUAAGGAUGAUGGAGGAUUUAGAUGAUGAAGAUGAUCUAGAUGAUAAAAAUAGAACUAUUUCCCGAGUUGAAAGUUUGAAGACCGCUUCAGCAUUCGCAUCCAGCUGAUCUACUGGGUAUUACACGAGUGUCACGCGUUGAGGCUAACUUAUGUGAUACUUGACACACUGGUACCGGCGAUAACGAGCCACCUGGAACGAGACUAACGAGCAUCUCACAUUUCGUACGAUGUAUUCUGCCGUUACUGACAUAAUACGCGAUGCUUUCGUGUCAGAUGAGUCACCUCGCCGAUAUUGUCUGCAUCACGAGGAUCCUCCCGCGCAGAAAUCAACCUCCAAUUAUUACAGCCCGAUUAGAUCUCAAUGAUCCGUAUCUGGUACCCGAAUCAAGCGCCUCGACAUGUUACAUCGCCAGGAACAAAAGGAUUCGAUAUUAUUUAAAUACGACGUCACGAUGAACAGUUGAAAUGCCCAGCUCGUACAAUUCAUUUGCAUUUAGAGCUCACCAGAAACGCCAGAAAUAUCCUGUUUACGACAUAUUUGGUUACGUCGAGAAGAUGCUUUAUGUCGUGCUCGUAUCUCGACGACAUGGUGCUCCUUGUCACAUUGACUUGUGCUCGUUGGACCGUACAUUUCAAUCCCGCUUCACACAACGUUUUCUCAUGCUAAUUUCAACGGCAGGCGAUUUUCAUCUCGCACAAUGCUCACGUACGACGUCUGAAUCAGUUGUUUGCGGCUCACAAUACGAUGCAUCCCUGUUUUCCACUUUACGCGUUUGAUUAACAAUAUCUGAAUUCUGCGACACUAGCCCACAACCUGAUAAAGCUUCGAAAACGAGAUCUUCCACGUCUCACCAUCAGACAAUUCAAUUCGAUUUCUUCGUCCGAUGCAUACUGAUGUUUACCAGCGUGUUUGCAAUCCGUUCCACGGCUCCAUUGUGUUUCUUUAAUUUUAUUAUUAAGUUUCACAUCACGCUCGAGCACAUUGCACAUGCGAAAUGAAAAUAGACACAUCGCGCCUCUGUUACCCACGGCCUUCGUUGCAUAUUUGCUUACAAGGUGCGUCUUAAAAGCACUGUAAACACCGAGUAGUCUAUCUACUCGGUGAUUACGUAUCCCAUUUACCUCGCACUAAAAAUCGAAAAUCGUGCCCUGUCCAGCAAACGUUAUACCCUUGUAAUUCGUAUCUGGAACGGUGGUUGAAUUAAUAAUACGGUUCGACCUAACAAUAAACCGUAUAGAUUGAACCAUCGACCUAAUUCGUAGGACAAAAAAUAAUUUAUGACGAAUAAAAAAAGCCCUUGGUUAUUUGGAACUUGCACUUUGACGUAACUCGAAUUUUUUGUCCUAAGUUUCUGUAAAUAGUCUCCAGUGUCCUUUAAAAGUUACUGGAGUCAACUAUGAAAUGUUCGCAGCGUUACUAAAACCGAAAUGUUCGAUCACAGCGUUAAUGAAAAUUGAUCGAUCCGCUCCUCGACGAGAGAACAAAUGUAAAUGGAUUUAGUGUGUUCAGCUCGAAGAUGUAUCCACGUAGAACAUCCGCUAGAUUACGGAACGAAAGUUUGUAUAUUAAGUGAGUUAUAUUUAGCUGCAUCGAUGUUUUGAAAAAUAUAAAGAAGCGCACGAGACGAUAAUGCCAAGCAACGAUAUUAAAUUUAAUGUAGCCAUCGCUCACGCUGUGAGAACUCGUUUGCAAAUUAAUGCAACGACGACGACAGCGACAAGAAUACGCGUUGGGACGUUCUGAUCGCUCGAUUAUUAUCUCCAGUCGCAACGGGUGAAAGAAAAAUUGCCUAAUUAACGCUUCUUCGUGGCGAGAUAAUAGCGUUACGGCAACAGUCGUGUAACUAGAAUUCUAUGAAGCGGGCCAGGUACUUCAGCUUUGCCAAUACUCUCUUCCCUCCGGAUCAGUGGUAUAAGCUUUUGAAAAUUUAGGAAUUUAGAAAUUUAUAACUUUGAGAAUAAAAAUUUGUAUUUUUCCAAAUUUGUAAUCUUUUAAAUUUCUAAUGUGAGAUACGCUGCGUCCUACGUCCUUCGUACCAAUGUGCACAAACAAAGACUUUCUCCUGUGACGACGUGAACCUCCUUUUCUUUUUUCCAUGACAUAAUCGUCAAGCAAUACUUACAGUUUAUUGCAGUUUUCGAAUGUAACGCUUAUUUAAUUCGAUAGAAUAUGAAUCAACUUACCUUCGAGCAGUUUUUGCCGUUAAAUAAUUUGUGUUAACGGUAACGCAUAUUAUAACGUGUUUCGAUAAACGCGUUGACCGCAUUGGACCGUAAAUGGUCACAGUUUCUAAGUUACUGCUGUUUAUUUGCGUGUAAUGUGAUUAUUUUGUGGCGGCGUGACUCGAUUCCUCGUUCACAAUUUUUUAUCUGGGUUGUACGAUAAAAUAAAGAAACAAGAGGGUGUUCGACGCCUUUCACGCGCGUAAACAUCGGAAAAUAUUAAGACGAUAAGUUUCUAAAUUCAGAAAAUGAAAAAUGUUAACAAAUGUAAUUGACCUGCGAUAUUUAUCGAGAGUUGUUUCUAGAAAGGCAACGUGAAAGUGUUGACCUAAUUAGAACUUUUAUCUGGAGUAAUUCGAGUUGCUUUACUAAUAGCUUUAAUUCCGCAGAUAUUAUCAAAGGAUUUAGAAAUUUAGGAAUAUGAAAGUUUUGAAAUUUUUGCGUUGUUCAGUGUAGAGAUAAUUUAAAUUAUAAUUAUGCGAUGAGCAAAAUACGAAAUGUUAUUGAAUGAUUUAUAUUUGACUCGCGAGGGGCAAUGAUCCAAGAGUUGAAAUUCUUGUUGCGUUGGCAAUGUUCAGUGCUCUUGUCGCAAAACUGAUCGUUCUAUGCGAUAGAUAAAACAGUAAGGGUAGGUUCCUCUUAAUCGAUACUAAUUAUUGAUAUCUCCAUUGAGUAACCCAAAUGCGCAUAUGUUCUAGAUACUUUAUCAAAUUAAUAACGACGAAGCCGAACCUAAAAAUAACAAAAUGUUCAAAAUAAAUUCAGUAAUCCAUCAAAUUCUGUCACACGAGCUCUCAUAUUCGACCACUUUUAUCAUCACGUAUGGUGUAAAGGCAAUCGAUACCUAUUUGUCCACUUUGCGAAUGUAGAUAAAGGUUGUAAUAUAACUUCAUGCUGUUUUUCGCGAUAAUCUCGUUAUAAUUCGGUAAAACAUGCCGCUCGAUAAGAAAUUCACCGAGAUAUCAUUAUUUUAUCAUGUUAUUAUUGAAAGUACACAAUCUUUGAACAUUUUGAAAGGACAAAAUCUUUAUCUACCGGCAAUGCUGAAGUUUGAUUAUGUUCAAAAUUAAUUACUCUGAACACCGAACAGUUAGUCACUUGCACGUACAAUAAAAUGAUUAAAUAUA